RNAcentral lists this ribosomal RNA (253 nucleotides) under uncultured bacterium. Its description in RNAcentral is "partial 16S ribosomal RNA". It matches the Rfam family "Bacterial small subunit ribosomal RNA", at positions 524 to 776 of the family's 1533-position model. The record is from RNAcentral.
GCCGAACCGUGCAAACGUUGUUCGGAUUCACUGGGCUUAAAGGGCGCGUAGGCGGGCGGUCAAGUCGGGGGUGAAAUCUUUCAGCUUAACUGGAAAAGUGCCUCCGAUACUGAUCGUCUUGAGGGAGGUAGGGGCAUGUGGAACUUCCGGUGGAGCGGUGAAAUGCGUAGAUAUCGGAAGGAACGCCGGUGGCGAAAGCGACGUGCUGGACCUCUUCUGACGCUGAGGCGCGAAAGCUAGGGGAGCGAACGGG